This 380-nucleotide ribosomal RNA is filed under the name uncultured eukaryote. RNAcentral's name for it is "partial 18S ribosomal RNA". It matches the Rfam family "Eukaryotic small subunit ribosomal RNA", at positions 592 to 976 of the family's 1831-position model. The record is from RNAcentral.
CAAUAGCGUAUAUUAAAGUUGUUGCGGUUAAAAAGCUCGUAGCUGGAUUUCUGCUGAGAACGACCGGUCCGCCCUUUGGGUGUGUAUCUGGCUCUUUCUUGGCAUCUUCUUGGUGAACGUUGCUGCACUUGACUGUGUGGAGCGCUACCCAGGACUUUUACUUUGAGGAAAUUAGAGUGUUUCAAGCAGGCAUACGCCUUGAAUACAUUAGCAUGGAAUAAUAAGAUAGGACCUCGGUUCUAUUUUGUUGGUUUCUAGAGCUGAGGUAAUGAUUAAUAGGGAUAGUUGGGGGCAUUCGUAUUUAACUGUCAGAGGUGAAAUUCUUGGAUUCGUUAAAGACGGACUACUGCGAAAGCAUUUGCCAAGGAUGUUUUCAUUGA